This 250-nucleotide ribosomal RNA is filed under the name uncultured bacterium. Its description in RNAcentral is "partial 16S ribosomal RNA". It matches the Rfam family "Bacterial small subunit ribosomal RNA", at positions 525 to 775 of the family's 1533-position model. The record is from RNAcentral.
ACGUAGGGGGCGAGCGUUAUCCGGAUUCAUUGGGCGUAAAGCGCGCGUAGGCGGCCGCUCAAGCGGGACCUCUAAUCCCGGGGCUCAACCCCGGGCCGGGUCCCGAACUGGGCGGCUCGAGUCAGGUAGAGGCAGGCGGAAUUCCCGGUGUAGCGGUGAAAUGCGCAGAUAUCGGGAAGAACACCGAUGGCGAAGGCAGCCUGCUGGGCCUUGACUGACGCUGAGGCGCGAAAGCCGGGGGAGCGAACAG